Molecule: unclassified non-coding RNA, 351 nt
Filed under: fungal sp.
Lineage: Eukaryota; Fungi
Description: partial internal transcribed spacer region
Rfam family: Eukaryotic small subunit ribosomal RNA (bases 1-46)
Source: RNAcentral
AAGUCGUAACAAGGUUUCCGUAGGUGAACCUGCGGAAGGAUCAUUACUUCAAGUGCUGUCAUCCCUUGGGAUACACAGACAUCUUGACAACACCAAUCUGUGCUCUUUCUUUUUUUCACUCCGCACAUUCAAUCCUUAAGUGUUCUUUGCACUGACUGUUUUGACUGUAGCUGCAGGUAUGGUGUAUCACAUCAUCCCUUGUGUGCUAGUCAUCUGUAGUUGGUAUCUCCUGCUUGCAUUCGUGCAUGCUGUGUGGUAUCCUCUACUUUCUCAACUCUUCAACCUUACUGUAUGCAAGUACAGUGUUGGUUGAUCUAGGAACAACUCCUAACAAUGGAUAUCUCGGCUCUC